CGCAGAGAGGAGCAAAUGGCAGCUCGUCGGGCUCAUAACCCGAAGGUUGCAGGUUCGAGUCCUGCCUCUGCUACUA
This 76-nucleotide transfer RNA is filed under the name Bacteroidota bacterium. RNAcentral describes it as "Bacteroidetes bacterium (hot springs metagenome) tRNA-Met". It matches the Rfam family "tRNA". Rfam says of the family: Transfer RNA (tRNA) molecules are approximately 80 nucleotides in length. Their secondary structure includes four short double-helical elements and three loops (D, anti-codon, and T loops). The record is from RNAcentral. Lineage: Bacteria; Pseudomonadati; Bacteroidota.